AAUACCUACUGAUAAAAUAUAUUUGUUUCUCCUCUUUCCUUCUCUCCUCUGCACACUCUCUCCUUCUCUUUCUCUCAUGGAGUACAAGAAUCAAUGCAUUCCCCCGGAAAAACCUCUGUGUUGUAACUUGUGUAACACUAAAAGUCAAAACUUCAAGAAAUUAUUAAUUAUGAACCGUUUUGCUCAAGAUUCCUCCAUUUAAAAUAAAUAAAUAAAUACGCAACCAUAAAGAAAGAGAAGACCUUCAUUCAUUCCAACUCUAAUCUACGUGGAAGCAUCACAAUUUACAUGAUUUCUUUUUUACAUUUAAACUGCAGAGUCCUCAUUUCAGAAAUGCUAAAGCAAGCAAGAAAACACAACCAUAUACUACUACAUAACAUGCUUAAAUUAUAUUAUAAUGUAACCUGACAAAAAAAAGAGUACACUGAUAAAUAAGAAACUUUUUAUGUUGAAAUCCAAAAAGCUCAUCCCAUGUUCAUUACAGACUUACAAAUGCUAUUUGUUGAUUCAUUACAAACAUUGAACAUUCUUUUUAAUUAUCAUAUGAAGCAAUGCAAGAAGCUCAUCCAAUAUUCCUAUGCAAUAUCUUAUUUACUAGCCUGAGAUGAUGAUGGGUGACAAACAACACAAUACCGUUCAUCAUCAAACACCACCACCACCACCAAGCUCUUGGACACACUACCUACCGAUAACAGUAGCAGGCAUGCGUGCAGUAACAGUAUCGUGGCUUGGCACAAACCCUUUUACUUGAGCUUCCCAACCAUGAUACCAAAAGCACCAUCAAUAAUACGAGUAUUGGUAGUACAAAAGGUGAGGAACCACUCUCUACUUCAACUUCUUCCUCUGGUUCACUUGAGAAGAGCUUUGGUAUAACCAGAAGAAUCAAUGCCACAGCCAAGAACAGAACAACAUUGGAAGUAUGAGUAUCAUUAGCCCUGGGUUUACAAUAGUAGUAACCCAUCAAGUGAUUAGAAAGGAAGGCCUAAGAAAGUGGGAAGAGUUUAUUGAAGGGAUUCACAAUGAUAAAGUCGGAGAAUACAAUGAAGACAAGGGAAUUGCUCCAACCAUAUCAACAUGGAAUUUUAUGAAAAAAAGGUGGAAUCUCAAUAAGAACAAUUAUCAAACAUAACAUUAUUGUCCUCCACACAACUUUUUGGUAGUUGCUCAAUUAAUAUUAUCUUUUUAGUUAGGCAAUCACAUUCCGUGAGAAAGAAGAUAUUAUCAUCGCAUAUACAUAGUUGUGGGGUCAAUUGAAGCAUUUAUAAGGCAGCGUUUGGAUCUUAAUAUUAUGAUUUUCAAUUUGCUCAAGUAUUAACCGUUCUUAUACAGCACCAAUAUUUAUUGAGCAGGAGUUAGGAAUGAAGUGUGCUAUUGAAAGACUCCUUUUCUAGAAUGAAUUAUUAACCAAAAGGUCAAUUCACAUUACCAACUCAUUUAUCCUGUGACUCGUGGAACUGGCUUUUACCUAUAGAAGUCUAAUUGUUAAUCAAAAGGUCAAUUUACAUUCCCAACUCAUUAUUUAUCCUGUGACUCAUAGAAUUGGCUUUUACCUGAGAAUAGAAGUCUAAGAAAGUGUUUGGAUGGAGGAAUGUUUUGAGGGAAUGUAAUGUUUC
RNAcentral lists this long non-coding RNA (1613 nucleotides) under Medicago truncatula (barrel medic). Its description in RNAcentral is "lncRNA gene24094". The record is from RNAcentral. Lineage: Eukaryota; Viridiplantae; Streptophyta; Magnoliopsida; Fabales; Fabaceae.